AGAGUUUGAUCAUGGCUCAGAAUCAACGCUGGCGGCGUGCCUCAGACAUGCAAGUCGAACGAUUAAACUUUCCUUCGGGAAAGAUAUAAAGUGGCGUACGGGUGAGUAACACGUAAGUAAUCUACCUUUGAGUGGGGAAUAACUUAAGGAAACUUAAGCUAAUACCGCAUAAUGCAGCGGCAUCAUAUGAUGACGGUUGUUAAAGAAUUUAUUCGCUUAAAGGGGAGCUUGCGGCAGAUUAGCUAGUUGGUAAGGUAAUGGCUUACCAAGGCAACGAUCUGUAGCCGACCUGAGAGGGUGGUCGGUCACACUGACACUGAAUAACGGGUCAGACUCCUACGGGAGGCAGCAGUCGGGAAUUUUGUGCAAUGGGGGAAACCCUGACACAGCAACGCCGCGUGAAGGAUGAAGUCUUUCGGGAUGUAAACUUCGGAACAUAUAGGAAGAAUAAAUGACGGUACUAUAUCUAAGGUCCGGCUAACUACGUGCCAGCAGCC
Molecule: ribosomal RNA, 497 nt
Filed under: uncultured bacterium
Lineage: Bacteria
Description: bacterial SSU rRNA
Rfam family: Bacterial small subunit ribosomal RNA
Source: RNAcentral